GGCCAUGUAGCGCCUGAGUCAAUAUGAAGUUGAACUGAGGCUAAUACUACCUGGUUAUCCUCUAUUUUAACUUCAUAUCAACUCAGGCGCUACAUGGCC
Molecule: non-coding RNA, 99 nt
Organism: Xyrichtys novacula (pearly razorfish)
Lineage: Eukaryota; Metazoa; Chordata; Actinopteri; Labriformes; Labridae
Source: the annotation of a GenBank genome assembly